AUCGUACCCCAAACCGACACAGGUGGUCAGGUAGAGAAUACCAAGGCGCUUGAGAGAACUCGGGUGAAGGAACUAGGCAAAAUGGUGCCGUAACUUCGGGAGAAGGCACGCUGAUAUGUAGGUGAAGCCCCUGCGGGCGGAGCUGAAAUCAGUCGAAGAUACCAGCUGGCUGCAACUGUUUAUUAAAAACACAGCACUGUGCAAACACGAAAGUGGACGUAUACGGUGUGACGCCUGCCCGGUGAUCGUACCCCAAACCGACACAGGUGGUCAGGUAGAGAAUACCAAGGCGCUUGAGAGAACUCGGGUGAAGGAACUAGGCAAAAUGGUGCCGUAACUUCGGGAGAAGGCACGCUGAUAGGUAGGUGAAGCCCCUGCGGGCGGAGCUGAAAUCAGUCGAAGAUACCAGCUGGCUGCAACUGUUUAUUAAAAACACAGCACUGUGCAAACACGAAAGUGGACGUAUACGGUGUGACGCCUGCCCGGUG
Molecule: ribosomal RNA, 488 nt
Filed under: Enterobacter hormaechei subsp. xiangfangensis
Lineage: Bacteria; Pseudomonadati; Pseudomonadota; Gammaproteobacteria; Enterobacterales; Enterobacteriaceae
Description: partial 23S ribosomal RNA
Rfam family: Bacterial large subunit ribosomal RNA
Source: RNAcentral